RNAcentral lists this ribosomal RNA (433 nucleotides) under uncultured bacterium. RNAcentral's name for it is "partial 16S ribosomal RNA". It matches the Rfam family "Bacterial small subunit ribosomal RNA", at positions 29 to 507 of the family's 1533-position model. The record is from RNAcentral.
AACGAACGCUGGCGGCAUGCCUAACACAUGCAAGUCGAACGAGACCUUCGGGUCGAGUGGCGCACGGGUGCGUAACGCGUGGGAACCUGCCCUUAGGUUCGGAAUAACUCCCCGAAAGGGGUGCUAAUACCGGAUAAUUUCUUCGGACCAAAGAUUUAUCGCCUUUGGAUGGGCCCGCGUUUGAUUAGCUAGUUGGUAGGGUAAAAGCCUACCAAGGCGACGAUCCAUAGCUGGUCUGAGAGGAUGAUCAGCCACACUGGGACUGAGACACGGCCCAGACUCCUACGGGAGGCAGCAGUGGGGAAUAUUGGACAACGGGCGAAAGCCUGAUCCAGCAAUGCCGCGUGAGUGAUGAAGGCCUUAGGGUUGUAAAGCUCUUUUACCCGGGAUGAUAAUGACAGUACCGGGAGAAUAAGCUCCGGCUAACUCCGUG